UGGAGCGCGGGACCUGAACUUGUAGUAGUCAAGCGAUGGGGUGACGCAGGAGGGUAGCUCCGCCAGUGAGUGGUAGUACUGGUGUAAGCGUGUAGGCCGUAGCAUAGGCAAAUCCGUGCUGCAUAUAGGCUGAGACGUGAUGCAUAGCCGAUUGAGGCGAAGUAGAGUGAUCCCAUGCUGCCGAGAAAAGCCUCUAGUGAGUGUUCAUGCGGCCCGUACCCCAAA
Molecule: non-coding RNA, 225 nt
Organism: Saccharothrix sp. NRRL B-16348
Lineage: Bacteria; Bacillati; Actinomycetota; Actinomycetes; Pseudonocardiales; Pseudonocardiaceae
Source: Rfam